ACCCGCUGUCGCUACACAUGGACCUCGGAACUUAAGGACAGCCCUGAAUGGCCCUGUCCCAGGCUGGUGCUCAGGAGGGUCAUGGUAGCACCCACGCCCCUUUCCAAGCCUUGUGGUGUAAGUAGGAAAUUACACUGACAACAUAGAGAGGCCGUUAGCAUGCCUUCAAGGCAACAUACAAAACUUUUAUAGUCUGAAUAAUUUUGAUUAUAGAAAUGUGUUUAUGAAUUUGUCUUUUAUUUUAAUUUUCUUGAACUGACUUGUAUUCAUGAAUUUAUUUCAAAGAUGUGAAAACCAGAAAACCAUUUCUGCAGAGUUCAGAUUUUUGAAUUUGUGGUUUUUUCGGUCUCAGGUCCAAGAGGAACAGCACAGCCUCGUCAGGUCCAGGAGGAUGGACGGCCCUCCAGGUGUCUCCUCCCCCGAGCACAACCAGGUCCCUUACUCUGACUCUCCUCCUUUCUCUCCCUCUCUCUUUUCUCC
Xyrichtys novacula (pearly razorfish) is the source of this 480-nucleotide non-coding RNA. NCBI's taxonomy places the organism in Eukaryota, Metazoa, Chordata, Actinopteri, Labriformes, Labridae. The record is from the annotation of a GenBank genome assembly.